CUCGUAGGCGGUCUGUCGCGUCGGGAGUGAAAACUCAGGGCUUAACCCUGAGCCUGCUUCCGAUACGGGCAGACUAGAGGUAUGCAGGGGAGAACGGAAUUCCUGGUGUAGCGGUGGAAUGCGCAGAUAUCAGGAGGAACACCGGUGGCGAAGGCGGUUCUCUGGGCAUUACCUGACGCUGAGGAGCGAAAGUGUGGGGAGCGAACA
RNAcentral lists this ribosomal RNA (207 nucleotides) under uncultured bacterium. Its description in RNAcentral is "partial 16S ribosomal RNA". It matches the Rfam family "Bacterial small subunit ribosomal RNA", at positions 568 to 774 of the family's 1533-position model. The record is from RNAcentral.